GACAUCACCACAUAGGACACUUUGAUGGACGAGGCGUAACCCUGCUGGAGGUGUGUGGGAGCUGGCCCGAGAGCUUUGGGGUGCCAGGGCACCAUACCGGAUCGGCCGACAUCAGCGAUGAAGGCCUGAGGGAGAGACUAGCCGACGCCAUGUCCGAGUCCCCUUCCAGGGACAUUGUGGGCUCUGCUACAGAGCUGCAGAGGGAGGGCAGCAUCGAAACCCUCAGCAACAGCUCGGGCUCCACCAGCGGCAGCAUCCCGCGCAACUUCGAAGGAUACCGCUCCCCUCUGCCCACCAACGACAGCCAGCCGCUCAGCCUGUUCCCCACCACCUUCCCCUGAAGCCCCGCCCACUCAGGCAGCCGCUGGAGGCCAGAUUCAGGAGCUGCAGAAACAUCAGCUGAUUUUUUUAUUUUUUUAUGAAUGAAUUAUCUGAUGACCAGAGAAGAAUCGCUUUAUUGUUGCCUCCAAACAUGUAGUAGAAGGUGUUGAUGACUCUGAUGCGUCAGGAAGACGGCCUCCUCUGCUGCCCCGCCCCCACGCCGUCCCUGAGGUCUGAGGCCUGUCGUCUGUUCGGGUCGCAGGAGAAGCAGCUCGACAGCAGAGGAGAAAAUGUUUAUUCCAGUUAGUGACGUGUAGCAGCUCCUUGUUUCCCUGUGUGUGUGUGUGUGUGUGUGUGUGUGUGUGGCCGCUCCCCAAAUGUUUCUGAUUAAAUUUACUCUUCUUGCCUUUGAUUUUGGUGUAAUUCCAUUUGACAAAGACGCAGUAAUGAGAUGACACUAUUACUACACGCUGAAGUCAUUUAGAUGUUUACAGUAGAACUUUUUCUGCUUUUAUUUACAGCCUCUCCGUUUGGUGCGUCCUGAUUGGCUCGCUGACGUCUUUGUUUUUUUAACAUGUUUUGACCAAAAUUUAGAAAAAUGUUUAGAUGUUUGUGUAACCAUAUUUUCCUUAGAUGUGAUGAUUUUUUUCCUGUUUCAUGAUCUUCCGGCUCUUUCCUUUCUGCCGCCUCUUUAUGAAAUGAUGUUAAAUAAUUGCAGGUUUUCUGCGUGAAGUUUAUCAGAGGGACGGAGUGGAGCGUGAAUCUAGAUAUUCAGAACAUCUGCUUGUUGUAGAUCUAUUCCCAGCAUUCAUGCAUUAAAAGCUUAAUAAAAGUGGAAUAAAUUCAUGAA
Molecule: long non-coding RNA, 1171 nt
Organism: Cyprinodon tularosa
Lineage: Eukaryota; Metazoa; Chordata; Actinopteri; Cyprinodontiformes; Cyprinodontidae
Exons: 3
Source: RefSeq, a predicted model, not a curated record